Molecule: ribosomal RNA, 253 nt
Filed under: uncultured bacterium
Lineage: Bacteria
Description: partial 16S ribosomal RNA
Rfam family: Bacterial small subunit ribosomal RNA
Source: RNAcentral
CACGUAGGGCGCAAGCGUUGUCCGGAAUUAUUGGGCGUAAAGAGCUCGUAGGUGGUUUGUUACGUCUGCUGUGAAAUCCUAGGGCUUAACCCUGGGCUUGCAGUGGAUACGGGCAGACUAGAGGUAGGUAGGGGAGAAUGGAAUUCCUGGUGUAGCGGUGAAAUGCGCAGAUAUCAGGAGGAACACCGGUGGCGAAGGCGGUUCUCUGGGCCUUACCUGACGCUGAGGAGCGAAAGCGUGGGUAGCGAACAGG